GCAACAGGUAGCUCUGUCAGAAGCUGGGAAGAGCCGCGCGCCGAGUCCCGGCAGCGGUGACGCUUUUGUUCAUCUCGCCUGGAUGCGCUUCCAAAAGUGAAAGGAAAAAGGCUUCACCCAAAACUUGCUUCCCGUCCCCCCUCCCUCCUCCUCCUCCUCCUCCCAGCGUGGCGCUUGAGUAGCCCUUCCACUCCCCAGCUCCCAUCCCAGUUUCCUGAAAGCAACAACUCGUCCUUGGGAACGGUAAGAAAUGUGAAUGUCAGUGAAACAGAAUGUCUACCAAGAUGCUAUAUUUAAAUCCAGCAAGUUGGAUGCUUUAUUUUAUUAACCUUCAAAUGGUAGAAUGAAAUACAGUGUAAAGAAAAGAAGACAUCAAUACUUGGAUUUAUAAAUUUGAAUUUCUGGACAUGAAAGCUUGUGAAAAUUAUGGUGUAUGGCUUGGAUUAUGGAAUAUAGUUCCAGCACCUCUAAGGCUUGGGUCCUCUAGCUGAUGUUGAUAAACCUAAGAAAAGAUUACUAUCUUGCAGAUCUUUACCUGUUGGAUAUCUAGAGCCAGAAAGCCCUUCAAAAAGAGGAAUGAUAAUCUGAAAAUUCUUUAAAAAGUUGACUAUUCUCUGAGAAUUCAUUACUGCCAGAUUGACUAUCCUUUUGUUCUCCAUGGCCCGCACAGUUCCAGAAAGCCAAUUUUAGCUUUGUUUUAUUUGUUCAAUAAAGGAAAACACUCUAAAGGAGGAGAGUCUGUGCAGGGAAGGGGUCUGUCUAGACUUCCAAACAAUUUUCCUUUCCUGAUCAAGGCAGAUCAUAUUUCCUUCCUAAGGAACAUGGCUGUGAAGUCACCGUUUUGUUUUGACCCUGGUCUUCCUGCAAAUGUUUGAGUCAAAAUCUGAUUGUAAAGAAUGAUUCAAGGGA
This is a long non-coding RNA of Candoia aspera, 909 nucleotides long. RefSeq lists it as uncharacterized. The record is from RefSeq and is a predicted model, not a curated record. The transcript is spliced from 6 exons. Lineage: Eukaryota; Metazoa; Chordata; Lepidosauria; Squamata; Candoiidae.